RNAcentral lists this ribosomal RNA (263 nucleotides) under uncultured archaeon. RNAcentral describes it as "partial 16S ribosomal RNA". It matches the Rfam family "Archaeal small subunit ribosomal RNA", at positions 748 to 1008 of the family's 1478-position model. The record is from RNAcentral.
AGGGUGUAAACGCUGCAGACUUGGUGUUGGGAACCCUUCGGGGGUGCUCAGUGCCGGAGAGAAGUUGUUAAGUCUGCUACUUGGGGAGUACGUCCGCAAGGAUGAAACUUAAAGGAAAUUGGCGGGGGGAGCACCGCAACGGGAGGAGCGUGCGGUUUAAUUGGAUUCAACGCCGAAAAACUCACCAGGGAAGACUGUUACAUGAAGGCCGAGAUGAAGACUCUGCUAGAUUUUCAGAGAGGAGGUGCAUGGCGUCAGUGACU